CACUGAUCCUGGCAACCACUAAUUCUCCAUGUUGAUAAUUUGGCAUUUGUGAAUGUUAUAUAAAUGGGCUCAUACAGUAUGUAAACUUUUGAGAUUGUCUUUUUCUGUUCAGCAUAAUACUUUUAUUACCCAUACUGAUUGUUGCAUGUAUCAAGUUUCUUUUUUAUUUUAUUAUUUAGCUGUGUAAAGUUUCAAGAGAGUAAUGAUAAAACCCAGCUCAUCUUUGGUUCAGUGACCAACAUACCAGCAAAGGAUGCAGCACCAGUGGAGAAAAUAGACACCAUGCUGGUCUUGGAAGGCAGUGGAAACCUGGUGCUAUACACAGGAGUGGUUCGGGUAAGCAAUAAGUAGCACUUCAUGCAUUUAGUAGGACUUCAGGCUGCCUGCAUGAAUAUUUGUAAUGUUACUUUAGAUUGAUAUUUUAAAUUUGUUAUGUUCCUGUCUGCACAAUUUGGCAGAAGAAUUUUGUUAAUAAUUCUCAGUGAAGCUUCCCAUUUAGGUGGGUCCUAAUUUGGAGGGCUAUGGCUCACUGCUAUUAAAUGCAUUGGUACUCUAAACCUGUCACAGAUGGG
Molecule: small RNA, 572 nt
Filed under: Pongo abelii (Sumatran orangutan)
Lineage: Eukaryota; Metazoa; Chordata; Mammalia; Primates; Hominidae
Description: retained intron
Source: RNAcentral